AGAGUUUGAUCAUGGCUCAGAGCGAACGCUGGCGGCGUGCUUAACACAUGCAAGUCGAGUGCGCGGUUGUAGCAAUACAACUGGCGCACGGCGCACGGGUGCGUAACACGUGGGUAAUCUGCCCUCUGAUGGGGAAUAACUCGCCGAAAGGCGAGCUAAUACCGCAUAACAUUCCUUGGACUCCGGUUCGAGGAUUCAAAGGCGUAAGUCGUCGGAGGUGGAGCCCGCGCACGAUUAGCUAGUUGGUAGGGUAAAGGCCUACCAAGGCUAUGAUCGUUAGCUGGUCUGAGAGGAUGGCCAGCCACACUGGAACUGAGACACGGUCCAGACUCCUACGGGAGGCAGCAGUGGGGAAUCUUGCACAAUGGGCGAAAGCCUGAUGCAGCGACGCCGCGUGGGGGAUGAAGCUUCUCGGAGUGUAAACCCCUUUCGACCGGGACGAAUACCUCGCAAGAGGGGUGACGGUACCGGUAUAAGAAGCCCCGGCUAACUACGUGCCAGCAGCCGCGGUAAGACGUAGGGGGCCAGCGUUGCUCGGAAUUACUGGGUGUAAAGGGUUCGUAGGCGGUGUGGCAAGUCGGGAGUGAAAUCUCUAGGCUCAACUCAGGGGCUGCUUCCGAAACUGCCGUGCUAGAGUGUGGGAGAGGCGCGUGGAAUUGCAGGUGUAGCGGUGAAAUGCGUAGAUAUCUGCAGGAACACCCGUGGCGAAAGCGGCGCGCUGGACCACUACUGACGCUGAGGAACGAAAGCUAGGGGAGCAAACAGGAUUAGAUACCCUAGUAGUCC
Molecule: ribosomal RNA, 786 nt
Filed under: uncultured bacterium
Lineage: Bacteria
Description: bacterial SSU rRNA
Rfam family: Bacterial small subunit ribosomal RNA
Source: RNAcentral